AGCUCCAAUAGCGUAUAUUAAAGUUGUUGCAGUUAAAAAGCUCGUAGUCGGAUUUCGGGUCGGGCCGAGCGGUCUGCCGAUGGGUAUGCACUGUUUGGCGCGGCCUUCUUUCCGGAGACCGCGGCUACUCUUAACUGAGCGGGCGUGGGAGACGGAUCGUUUACUUUGAAAAAAUCAGAGUGUUUCAAGCAGGCAGCUCGCUCUUGCAUGGAUUAGCAUGGGACUAAAAUAAAAAUUAAAAUAGGACUCUGGUGCUAUUUUGUUGGUUUCGAACACCGGAGUAAUGAUUAACAGGGACAGUCAGGGGCACUCGUAUUCCGUCGAGAGAGGUGAAAUUCUCAGACCAAUGGAAGACGAACCACUGCGAAAGCAUUUGCCAGGGAUGUUUUCA
This 391-nucleotide ribosomal RNA is filed under the name uncultured eukaryote. RNAcentral's name for it is "SSU rRNA". It matches the Rfam family "Eukaryotic small subunit ribosomal RNA", at positions 587 to 972 of the family's 1831-position model. The record is from RNAcentral.